Molecule: RNA transcript, 1655 nt
Organism: Asparagus officinalis (garden asparagus)
Lineage: Eukaryota; Viridiplantae; Streptophyta; Magnoliopsida; Asparagales; Asparagaceae
Exons: 16
Source: RefSeq, a predicted model, not a curated record
AUACACGCCAUCACUUAUUCAUGGCACGAUCAUCAAGAGAAGCGACUUAAGCCACUCCAGGACUCUCAGCGUUCGCUGUUUGGCUUCGGAAAAACGAGGUUUUGGGGCUGACCCUGUCAAAAAGAAGCAAGUUGGUUUCUGAGUCGCCUAAGACACGAAUGCGACAGGCACCUGAACUAACCACUGGUCUUGACCAGAAGUCAAGAAUCUUAGACCGUAAAUUCUUGGAAAAAGUAGAUGCGGUGAGAAGGUCGGCGCGGGAGCUGAAAAAAGUGGAGGAGGACAAACUCUAUCAAGCAAUUGAUUAUGAUGCACCCGUUGAAACAGAACAAAGCACAACUGGACUUGGCACUAAGGUUGGAGUUGGGAUCGCUGUUGUGGUUUUCGGAUUGGUUUUUGCUUUUGGAGACUUUCUUCCCUCUACAAGUGUUGGGCCUAACAAUGAUUCAGCUGUAGUUGAGAAGAAGCUUACUGACAAAGAGAAAGCAACUCUUAAGGAAAGACUUCAACAAUUUGAAGCAGUGCUUAGCACUUCACCAGAGGAUCCCACUGCUCUUGAAGGUGCAGCAGUGACUCUGGCAGAGUUAGGAGAAUAUGAACCGGCAUCUUCUUUUCUUGAAAAGUUGAUAAAGGAAAGACCAAAUGACAUUGAAGCUUUUCGGUUACUAGGAGAAGUGAAGUAUGAGCUGAAGGAUUUUGAAGGGAGCGCUUCAACAUAUAGAACUGCUUUAUCCAAGGCCUCUGAUGGUAUCAAUUUUGAAGUUCUUCGUGGGCUCACAAACUCAUUGCUCGCUGCAAAAAAGCCUAGUGAGGCUGUUCAAGUCCUUUUGUCAUCUAGAGGGCAGUUAAAUGGUGGCAGUUCUGAUGCCUCCAAUAUUUUACCUGAUGCAAGCAGUAAUCUGGAGCAGACAAUGCAGAAGGUUGAUCCAGUCCAGGUUGAGUUGCUUCUAGGAAAGGCUUAUUCUGAUUGGGGUCAUGUUAGUGAUGCUGUUGCUGUUUACGAUCAGCUUAUUUCCAAGUAUCCAAAUGACUUCCGUGGUUACUUGGCUAAGGGAAUCAUAUUAAAAGAAAAUGGUAAACUUGGCGAUGCAGAAAGGAUGUUUAUUCAGCCAUUUUUGUAUGUUAUAUGCAGGCAAAAUUUUUUGCUCCAGAGAAAGCAAAGUCACUUGUAGAUCGAUAUUCCAGAUAGAAAUAGUCCGUAUGUAGUGAAGAGCACCUGGGGGGCAAGGAUCAGAAGAUUUUUACAAUGCUACGCAGCUGCAUCACAAGUACUAAGUUAAGCGAAGAACACCACGUCAAUCAUGAUUUCGCGAGUGAAUGGAGGAUGAUGUAAGGGUACCCCUUCAGGCUCAUUGUUGGUAUGACAUUAAUGUGGCACAUCCAAACUUCCACAUUUCAGAUUAUCAGUAUUUGGUCAUGGUUGGCGAUCAGGAUUUGUGCUGCGAAGACACCACGCAUAUAAGUGUGAACGUAUACAUUCGUGUCGUGGCCUGAAUGUAUGUCAGGUCGAGGAUACAUCUAGCAGAAAUGUCAGCAGGACGUACAGAACAUUGACACAACUGAAUUCAAUAUAACAACGUGAAGAAAUUUAUCAUGUGAAAAUGUGUAGGGAUGAUAUUUUAUUUUCAUCUAAGGUAGAGACUAACUUUGCAACA